This 301-nucleotide ribosomal RNA is filed under the name uncultured bacterium. RNAcentral's name for it is "partial 16S ribosomal RNA". It matches the Rfam family "Bacterial small subunit ribosomal RNA", at positions 509 to 807 of the family's 1533-position model. The record is from RNAcentral.
CAGCCGCCGCGGUAAAACGAAGGGGGCUAGCGUUACUCGGAAUUACUGGGCGUAAAGGGCGCGUAGGCGGCGCUCCAAGUUAGGCGUGAAAGUCCUGGGCUCAACCUGGGAACUGCGCUUAAGACUGGAGUGCUUGAGGAUGGAAGAGGGUUGUGGAAUUCCCAGUGUAGAGGUGAAAUUCGUAGAUAUUGGGAAGAACACCGGUGGCGAAGGCGGCAACCUGGUCCAUUACUGACGCUGAGGCGCGACAGCGUGGGGAGCAAACAGGAUUAGAUACCCCAGUAGUCCCUGUCUCUUAUAC